Long non-coding RNA from Phyllostomus discolor (pale spear-nosed bat), 303 nucleotides. RefSeq lists it as uncharacterized. NCBI's taxonomy places the organism in Eukaryota, Metazoa, Chordata, Mammalia, Chiroptera, Phyllostomidae. The record is from RefSeq and is a predicted model, not a curated record. The transcript is spliced from 3 exons.
CAGCACCAGCCCGCAUCCACAUCUGAGGGCCAAGUCGGGGAGUGGGGCCGUGCCGGGGGCGUUUCCGGCCCCGGGCAGCAACUGAUCUCAGCCCACCGCAGAUCUGCCCUUUGCAGCCACAGACAGAGCCGGCUGAGGCCGGCACUCUUAGCCGUUUGGGGGCCAUAGAAGGUGCGGGGAACAGAAGGUGGGGGUCAAGGUGCUGACCAGGCAUCCCCACUGCUGGGGGCUCAGGUGCAGGACAGGGGCCCCACGCCUGGUGGCUCUGCCCCCCACGAUGCUCCGGACGGUCCCCACAGCCAU